GGCCCCGCCCCCGGGGGCACCGCACGUGCCCUGGCCCUGGCCCUGGCCCUGGCCCUGGUCCUGGCCCUGGCCCCGGCC
This 78-nucleotide microRNA precursor is filed under the name Pelodiscus sinensis (Chinese soft-shelled turtle). Its description in RNAcentral is "miRNA (ENSPSIG00000019657.1)". The record is from RNAcentral. Lineage: Eukaryota; Metazoa; Chordata; Testudines; Trionychidae.